AGUGGCGGACGGGUGAGUAACGCGUGAGAAUCUGCCUUGGGGUCGGGGACAACCACUGGAAACGGUGGCUAAUACCGGAUAAGCCGAUUGGUGAAAGAUUUAUUGCCCGAAGAGGAGCUCGCGUCUGAUUAGCUAGUUGGUGAGGUAAGAGCUCACCAAGGCAGCGAUCAGUAGCUGGUCUGAGAGGACGAUCAGCCACACUGGGACUGAGACACGGCCCAGACUCCUACGGGAGGCAGCAGUGGGGAAUUUUCCGCAAUGGGCGAAAGCCUGACGGAGCAAGACCGCGUGAGGGAGGAAGGCUCUUGGGUUGUAAACCUCUUUUCUCAGGGAAGAAGCUCUGACGAUACCUGAGGAAUCAGCCUCGGCUAACUCCGUGCCAGCAGCCGCGGUAAUACGGAGGAGGCAAGCGUUAUCCGGAAUUAUUGGGCGUAAAGCGUCCGCAGGUGGCGAUUCAAGUCUGCUGUCAAAGCACGGGGCUUAACUCCGUAAAGGCAGUGGAAACUGAAUAGCUAGAGUGCCGUAGGGGUAGAGGGAAUUCCCGGUGUAGCGGUGAAAUGCGUAGAGAUCGGGAAGAACAUCGGUGGCGAAAGCGCUCUACUGGACGGCAACUGACACUCAGGGACGAAAGCUAGGGGAGCGAAUGGGAUUAGAUACCCC
This 660-nucleotide ribosomal RNA is filed under the name uncultured bacterium. RNAcentral describes it as "bacterial SSU rRNA". It matches the Rfam family "Bacterial small subunit ribosomal RNA", at positions 94 to 788 of the family's 1533-position model. The record is from RNAcentral.